RNAcentral lists this long non-coding RNA (645 nucleotides) under Olea europaea subsp. europaea. Lineage: Eukaryota; Viridiplantae; Streptophyta; Magnoliopsida; Lamiales; Oleaceae. The record is from RNAcentral.
UGCAAGGAAUUCAGACAGGAAACACAGAUCCAUAAAAUAUGCACCAAAGACAAAGAUCUUAACAAACUAAGGGAGAUCUUUGUUUCAUAUACAGAUACAUAAACUAACAGUAAAUGCUUCUCAGUACUAAUAUAAGCAAAUUCAUAACCAACACUAAACAUAAAUACUAAUUAAAACAAGAUCUAUGUAUAACCUUAAUGAGUGCAAAAUUUAAACGGCAAAGAGAUUAAUCUAAUUUUAGGAUUCUAAGUUGUUGUAGCAAAUCGGACCAAGAUGCUUAAUUCCCCAUGAGAAUAAGUGAUUUUUAAAGAUUGUUACAAAGAGAAGGAGACCCUUUAUUUCACUUCAAACGUAGACUGAGCUUCUUGUUCUUCUCCUCCUUGUAAUCCAUUGUCAACCGACAAAAGUCCAAUUUUCUGACUUUUUUCUUCUCUGUCUUUGUUGAUGAUGCUACGGAUGAUGAUGAUGGAGACAAUAAUGUUUGUGAAGAAGAAAGGUAAGGUGGGUGGCGGGGCAGUCGAGAACAUGAUGAUUGCUUUUUUGGUUCAGCCGUUGAAAAUUGAGACGAGAGAGAGAGAGAACCUAAGUCUUGUUUUCCUACUCUCUUUCUUUCCCACCGAGGAUUGUGUUUCCUAUCGAGAGAGG